This is a small nuclear RNA of Suricata suricatta (meerkat), 102 nucleotides long. The record is from Ensembl. NCBI's taxonomy places the organism in Eukaryota, Metazoa, Chordata, Mammalia, Carnivora, Herpestidae.
GUGCUCACUUCAGAAGCACAUAUAUCGGAAGUGGAACCACACAGAGAUCAGUAUGUCCCCUGCACAAGGAUGAUAUGAAAAUUAGCAGUCUUCCAUAUUUCC